Molecule: unclassified non-coding RNA, 248 nt
Filed under: Hevea brasiliensis (rubber tree)
Lineage: Eukaryota; Viridiplantae; Streptophyta; Magnoliopsida; Malpighiales; Euphorbiaceae
Source: RNAcentral
GGAACAGUGGAGACUGGAGAUUCUUCUCUAAACUUAAGAUUGGAGAUUGAAGCAAAUCUACGUAGGCAGGCUAUAGAAAGGCUUGCCGAGGAAAAUUUAUUGCAAGGGAUCAGAUUAUUUUGUUUUCCAGAGGUUGUAAAACCUGAUGAAGAUGUCGAGAUAUUUCUUAACAGAGGUCUUUCCACUUUGAAGAAUGAGCCUGAUGUCUUGAUUAUGGGAGCUUUUAAUGAGUGGCGCUAUAGGUCUUU